This 468-nucleotide ribosomal RNA is filed under the name uncultured bacterium. RNAcentral describes it as "partial 16S ribosomal RNA". It matches the Rfam family "Bacterial small subunit ribosomal RNA", at positions 28 to 507 of the family's 1533-position model. The record is from RNAcentral.
GACGAACGCUGGCGGCGUGCUUAACACAUGCAAGUCGAACGGAAAGGCCCUGCUUUUGUGGGGUGCUCGAGUGGCGAACGGGUGAGUAACACGUGAGUAACCUGCCCUUGACUUUGGGAUAACUUCAGGAAACUGGGGCUAAUACCGGAUAGGAGCUCCUGCUGCAUGGUGGGGGUUGGAAAGUUUCGGCGGUUGGGGAUGGACUCGCGGCUUAUCAGCUUGUUGGUGGGGUAGUGGCUUACCAAGGCUUUGACGGGUAGCCGGCCUGAGAGGGUGACCGGCCACAUUGGGACUGGGAUACGGCCCAGACUCCUACGGGAGGCAACAGUGGGGAAUAUUGCACAAUGGGCGGGAGCCUGAUGCGGCAACGCCGCGUGCGGGAAGACGGCCUUCGGGUUGUGAACCGCUUUCGCCUGUGACGAAGCGUGAGUGACGGUAAUGGGUAAAGAAGCACCGGCUAACUACGUG